GCCGGGACCCAGCUGGGAGGCCGAAGGCUUGGGGUGGCCAGUUGCUUGGUCCCACACAAAACCUUCCGGCAACGUGCCUUUUCCAGGGGACCAGCUGUGCUGGAGUCAGUGAUGCUGAGAGAUUAUUGCGUGCUACCCCAAAGGCUCUGUUAGGUUAGAGAACAUCAUUCCCAGUAAGGGCUAUGUCUCCACCAGCAAAGGGAGGAUUCUACUGAAUUUGAAGCUGGGUCUACCACCUGGCCGCCUUGGACUUCUCAUGCCAGUGGAUCAGAAGGGAGUUAUAGUAAUGUUGGGAAUGCUCAUGCUUGGAACCCUAUGUCCAAGUUGUAAGGAAGCCCAAGCAGCCCAUGAAGAGGCCCACGUUAAGAAGAACCAGGGCCCUGACCCACAGUCUAAGUGAACUCUCAGCUAACAGCACCAUUUUGCCAACCAUGUGAGUGAACUGUCUUCAUAGUUGACUUGCCAGCCCCCAGCUGUGCUGCCCCAGAAACAUUGCAUGGAACAGAUGACCCUUCCUCCUGAGCCUGGCCCAAAUGACAGAUUUGUGAACAAAAUAAAUGACUGUUGUCUUAAGCCCUAGAUUUUUGGGAUAGCGUGGACAUGGGCCAUGGGCCAUGCAAAUUCUCAUUGUUCUUGUCUUCCCCUAGUUUUCUAAAGGGAAGGAAAAAAAGUGUGUGUGUGUCUGGGAAGGCAUAGAGGAGUGAGUAAAGCUGGGAGGCAGGGGCUGCUUCUCCAUACGUCUCAUCUCUCGUCCACUCUUCUUUCUGCACCCACCGCUGACCCCUUACUAGGUGUUCUCUGCCUGUACGCCUGUGACAAGUCUUUGUCACAUUCAAGAAAGUAUAAUUAGUGUGGUUCUCACAUAAGAAUGUUAAACCCCUAAUGGUGUCUGGAAAUGGAUUUUUUUUUUUGUCAUAUGGUGUGGGUGGAUGUUGGCAUUUAGUAGGUGAGACCCAAGGAUGCUAAAUGUACUGCAAUGUGUAGGACUGUCAACUCCAAAAUAUCAUAGCUUUCACAUUGAGCAGCACUG
Molecule: long non-coding RNA, 1030 nt
Organism: Nomascus leucogenys (northern white-cheeked gibbon)
Lineage: Eukaryota; Metazoa; Chordata; Mammalia; Primates; Hylobatidae
Exons: 3
Source: RefSeq, a predicted model, not a curated record